Molecule: transfer RNA, 87 nt
Filed under: Candidatus Uhrbacteria bacterium CG10_big_fil_rev_8_21_14_0_10_48_11
Lineage: Bacteria; Candidatus Uhriibacteriota
Description: tRNA-Ser
Rfam family: tRNA
About the family: Transfer RNA (tRNA) molecules are approximately 80 nucleotides in length. Their secondary structure includes four short double-helical elements and three loops (D, anti-codon, and T loops).
Source: RNAcentral
GGAAGGGUGGCUGAGUGGUCGAAGGCGCCGCUCUCGAAAAGCGGUAGAUCCGCAAGGGUCUCGAGGGUUCGAAUCCCUCCCCUUCCG